CGGCGGUGCUGUUCAGAGAUUCAGAUUUAAGUACCUGUGAUUUUAGAAAUAAACAAAUGAAACAAAUAGUUUUCUUUGAUGUUUUUGUUUUAUUCAAGAAGCCUUUAUUUUGUAGCAAAUGUGAAUUUUUUGUUUAUGAUGGUGAAAUAUUGUGUUGUGGUGGAUUGCAUCAACAGUAAAGAAAAGAAGAAAAAAAGAAAUAAGUUGAAACUACAGAAAAAUUCUCUGUUUACCGUACCCAAAAAUAAUCAAAUUUUAAAGCAAUGGAGUGAAAUAUUGAAGCAAAAUUUGGAUUUCGAUCCAAAUUGUCGUAAAUUUAUAUGUGAUGAACAUUUUGAUGAAAAAUACAUAAUUAGAAAAGAUAUAAUAACAAUACCUGGUGAACAACCUUUUGUAUCUGAAAGACAAAGAAUUGUCUUAAAGCCAGAUGCUAUUCCAACAUUAGAUAAAAAAACUUCAGCAAGUGAAAAUGACAUCGAAAGUACUGUCUGCAAUAUAUGUUAAAGUAUGGCAGUUGCUGCAAGUGAGGAAUUUGUAGUUAAGAAGGAGCCAGUCGAUUUAAUGAGAGAAGAUGACAUUAUUGAGCCCAAUAUUAUUGGAAAAGCGGAGUGCAUAUAUGCAGAAUUAUCAGAAUCAUAUACAGAUUUUUCGAUAAAUGACCUCAUUAAGAAUUUAGAAACGCAUAAAUUACCAAAGAAAUGGGCCUGGGUUGAUGAUCACCUCGAUUCACCCUCAGUGAUAAUGUGUCAUUUGGAUUAUGAAUCAUAUGAUGUCAAAUUUCGUGUAAAAAUCGAUAAGGUUCUAAAUGUAGUUGUAACAAACGUAAAAAUUAGUAAAUCAAUAAAAAGUGACUUUGUUAUUUCUAGUAUGAAUAAAUUAUGGGAAUUUCUACAAAAAUUAGAGAGAUCUCAAAUGUGUAGUGGUAGUGGAUUUGAUUGUCAAAAGUCUUCAGAAACAUGCACAGUUUUUUUGAAAGCUGAUGAAAAGUAUAAAAUACAAGCAGCAAGAUAUAGAUGCAAAGCAUGUAGACGACUGAGAUCAAAAUUAUGCAAUAAAUUAUACCUACCAAAAAUGGAUGUUGAUGAACUUAAUAGAAAAUUAAAACUUGAACUUAAUGCUGUGAAGAAAAAGUGUACUCGCCUCAGUAAUAAGGCUUAUUUCUGUGAAAGUCGAUUGUAAAAAUUUCCCAUAGAUCCAAAGUUAUGGUAGAAAAUGUGACUGCCCGACGAGAGUUUGGUGCAUGCAGGCAUUUUUGGCGCUGCUAGAUAAUAAAACUCUGAAGCAAAUCAUCGAAGAAGAAAGAAAAAAAUGUGCUGAUGCUUCCGAAACUGUUAUAG
Molecule: unclassified non-coding RNA, 1337 nt
Filed under: Polistes canadensis
Lineage: Eukaryota; Metazoa; Arthropoda; Insecta; Hymenoptera; Vespidae
Description: uncharacterized LOC106786133, transcript variant X4
Source: RNAcentral